This is a long non-coding RNA of Arachis stenosperma, 3319 nucleotides long. RefSeq lists it as uncharacterized. NCBI's taxonomy places the organism in Eukaryota, Viridiplantae, Streptophyta, Magnoliopsida, Fabales, Fabaceae. The record is from RefSeq and is a predicted model, not a curated record. The transcript is spliced from 3 exons.
UCUUUACAAACACAUUAAAAUCAUCCUCCCCCUCCCCAUCUACAAAAAUUUUCGAACACAUUUACUCCUAAGGGUCCCUAACGCUUCGUUUUCAUUCCCGUGAAAGGCAUUCACUAUCUCAUUUGUCAUUACACACUUCAAAGGAGAUGUUUCAUGUUCAAUGAUGUCCUAGCAGUGGUCUGUUGACACUGGAGGAGUAUCGGAAUUGCAUUUGGACAUCGUUAGCAAGGGUGAGGAAAGAGGUCAGUCCGGCAUUAUCAUUGGGGAUAUUCAGGUAUGUAUGCAGUAUUUGUUACAGUUUUGGUCGAGGUUGAACGUAAUAAUGUUUGAACAGAUUCUUUUAGUUUCCUAAAACUGCGAGAGUUUGAUUUACAUUUUUUGUCUCUUUGAGAAAUGGAAAGCUUUACUCUGACUGUCUACCAUGUGGGUCGAUUCGGAUAUGAAGAUGGGACGUUGUGGUAUAUAGGGGGACAAAAGACACUCAUCGAAGAUGUUGAGAGUGAUUGCUGGUUUGUAUUUGAGGCAUAUGCAGAGCUAAGGCACUUUGGGUACACAAAGGAGAACAUUUCAGCUCUGUGGUAUAAGGAUCCAGCAAAUGAAUGGUUAGAGAAGGCUCUAAAAUUAUUUGCUACGGAUAAAGAUACACUUAAGAUGUGUAGAAUAGCGAAGUUGUGGGGUCAUGUUGAGGUGUUUGUGGUGCAUGUGGUUGAGGAUGCAGAAGAAUUUUCUGAAACUGAGUUUAUGAUGUACAACAAGUUAAUGAAGGAGAUAACUUAGAAACAGAUGUGGCUGCUAAAAAUGAACAGGGUAAGACAAAUAGCAAUGAUGACAGCGAUGAUAAGGAGUUUAUUCCGUCUGAUCUUGAGGUUGAUAGUGCAGACGAUAUUCAUUUUACAAAUAGUGAAGAUGAAUAUGAUGAUGAGAGUGGGUUUGAGGAAGAUACAAGUGUCAAGGAUAGUGAGAGGGUUGAUAAAGGCAAAGGGGUUAUGAAUGGUGAUUUUAGUGAUGAGGAAGGUUUCAAUAGCGAUGAAGUGGAUUUGGAGCAUGAGGUUGGUGUUGGUUCAGAUGAUGAGGAAGGAUAAGGGGAAGAUAACUAUGAGGCAAGGAGCUAUCCAAUUUAUAAGGAUGUUAAAGAUAUGACUAGUUACAAGUGGGAGGUGGAAACAAUUUUUGCUUCAAGAGAGAAAUUUAAAGACACUGUGACAUUGUAUGCAGUACAAACAAGAAGGGAACUCAGGUAUGCCAAGCUUGACUUGGUUAGAGUGAGGGCUGCUUGUCAGCUUGGUUGUCCUUUUUGGUUAUAUGUCGCUAAGAUGAGAGAGGAAGCAACUUGGCAGCUUCGGUCCAUGAACCUUAAGCAUACCUGUGGCCAGUCGCAUAGGGUUGGGAUAAUACAUACUUCGUGGCUGAGUAGAGCUUUUAAGAAGAAGGUGGAACAUAAUUCGAAAGUUAAGAUCAAUGAAUUGGUGAACAAGGCACAAAGAAAGUGGAAUCUGACAAUUACAACCUCAAUGGCAGCUAGGUCAAGGCAAGCUGUGUUGGAUGACAUACGGAGAGAGUAUAGAAAGUAGUACAAGAGGAUUGCUGAUUACUACUCGGAGUUGCUAGUUGCUAAUCCAGGAUCAUCAGUGACGCUCAAGGUACAGAGGUCCCCUGAUUUUGAGAUUGAGCAGCAAUACUUGUCCUUGAACAACUUCUGCAUAUUUCAAAGAGUUUAUGUAUGUCUAGAGGAUUGCAAAGAAAGCUUUGUGCACUGUAGGAAGUUCAUUGGGCUAGACGACUGCUUUAUAAAAACACCUCAAGGGGGGAAGCUGUUGACUGCUAUAGGUUAGAACGUAACCCCAAUGAUAAAAUGCUCCCUAUCGCCUAUGCCGUUGUGGAGUCAAAGACGAAAGAUACCUGGACUUGAUUUCUGAAGCUGUUAAUUGAUGAUUUCGGAUUUGAGACAAUUGGCAGUGCAACCUUCAUGUCUGAUCAGCAGAAGGGUUUACUACCAGCUUUUGAUGAAGUAAUUCCAGGUGUAGAUCAUAGGUUUUGCAUGUGGCAUCUCUAUAGCAACUUUAGAAAAAAGUUUUUGGGACUGCAAUUGAAGCAAUUGAUGUGAAGGUGUGCAAAGGCUACACACUAGAAGGAUUAGGAGAGAAAAAUGCCAGUGGUCCGAGCAGUCAAUGUGGAUGCUCACAAGCAUAUCAACUCUAUUCCUCCUAGAUUUUGGAGCAGGUCCAGGUUUAACUUUCAUUCCAAAUGUGAUACUUUUGUAAACAAUAUGUGCGAAAGCUUUAAUGGUGCAAUAUUAGAGUCUAGGAAAAAUCCCAUUAUUACUAUGCUUGAAGAUAUUAGGGUGUACCUGAUGAGUAAAUGGGCUGUUAAUAGAGAAAGAAUUCAAAAGUUCAAUGGAACAAUUUUACCUCGAAUUAGGAAGAAGAUAGAGAGAAAAGGUAGGGCAGCCGGUUAGUGGAUGUCUUACUGAUCUGCUGCACAGACUUAUGAGGUUGUAAAUGGGUUGAGCAAAAUAUGCUGUUGAUUUGUCUCUUCGUGAGUGUUCUUGUUGAAAAUGACAGCUAAGUGAAAUUCCAUGCACACAUGCCAUCAGUUGCAUAAACUUCAAGGGUCUUGAUAUGGAUUCAUAUGUGGAUGACUACUACAAGAGAGAGGCCUAUGUCAAGUGCUAUGAUUUGAUAAUCAACUCUCUCAAUGGCUCAGAUCUGUGGGAGCACACUAACUUCGAUGAUGUCAUGCCACCACCCUAUCGAAAGCCUAGCCACAGACCAGUAAAGAAAAGGAAGAGAGGACCUGAGAUACAGAGGUGCUCAAACUGUGGUGCAUCAGGUCACAAGAGAGGAAGAUGCAGCAAUCCACCCCUCCCUGCCCAACCACCUAAACAAUCUGCUGUGAAAAAAAACUAAUAGAGAAAAAAAGAGAUCAAUUUCAUAACUUGUUGUGCAAUCUGCUACCAGAAGGAGGAAGAGGUCCAAACUGCAAGGAAACUCAUCAUCACAGCCUCAACCAACCACCAGCACAACAUCCAUAACCAGGUCCAAGUCAUCCCAUUCCUAGCCCAUCCCCAAGCCCACAACACAUGCAUCUAGGCUCAAGACAAUACCAACAGCUACUCCUCAGUGAAUGCCCAAGAUAAAGUCCAUCAGAAGCUCAACACAACUACCACCAGCUGCCAAGGAGAAAGGUACAUCUAGCUCAAGUCAACCAGUUAUGAAUAAAGUCUCCUUCAGUCACAACAUUACACUACAUAUUUCUCCAAGAAAGUUGAGGCUGUUGACAAAACUGCAUCCAAAAACUUGGAAAAAACUUUAAGAAUUCU